GGCUGUGUCUCAAUUCAGGGUCUGCAUCCUACCUCGGCCGGAUUCGUCGGCCGGUUACGUCACAGCGCCGCGACUCGGCCUGUCCCAAUUCGAAGACUCCUUCAAAUGCGGUCGACGAAUGCGGCCUUCUUUUCGCCUGAAUGAAGGAUGGGUCGGGUGUAUCCUUCAAUAGGUAGCAUUUCCCAAGAUGCCUUGCGGGCCGGCCGGCAGAAAAACUUAAAAACAAUGGCGGACAGUGAAGGGGGAGCUGUCGGAGAGGAUUGCGCAUAUACAUGAACAAAAGAGAAAACCAGGGAAUUUAUUAAGCUUAGGACGGAGAUGGACCACAUGAUCACCGGAGCAAAGUAUUCGGCGGCUGUGGCAUGGAGACUAUUCUGGAGAAAAUGGGCAUCCAGGGGAAGGUGCCAGCGAUGAGCUUCUGGAGCUGAUCAGGGAGGACAUGAGGCUGCAGAGGGAGGCAGAGCAGCAGGAGCCCAGGAGAGAAGGAAGAACUUUGACAGCUUUUUACUUUGCUAGAAAAAAAUGGUUAAGGAAGAUUAAACAUGUACAUGUAAAAGAAAUAUCUAAAUAAAAUCAGUUCUGCAUUAAACUCUUGAAUUUUAUUUUUGUUUACAAAUGAGAAUUGUUUACUAGAAGGUAUCCGCUGGGUCUUGAAAAGUCUUAAAAGGUGAUAAAUCGGUUUUGGUCAAAUUAAGACCCUUAGAAAGUAUUAAAAACUAUUAUCACAUCUUUGCUCAGGCUCAGCUAGUCUAAAGUAUUUUCUCUGAAUUAGCUCUCCAACAGUCAAGGAAAUGAUUAACCCCCAGAGACCCACGGUUGUAAUAUUACAACAUCAGAUUUAAGUCUACAAGAAUAAACCUUCCCCAUUUUUUUUCUUUUUAAAACCACAUUUACAUUGCUAAUAGGUCCUAUUGUUCAGUUCUGCAACACUAUUGGCUGUUAAAAUGUGUAAAUAGGCCCGUUUAUCUGGCCUCCUAGAACAUGUGAAAGGUUAAAAAAAUAUUUUGCAGUUGUUUUCUAAAUUUGGGUUUCUGGGGGUUAAAAAGCUAAAUAAAACGUCGAGCUCCAUCGUUUAAAGUUCCUUCUCCCUUCUGCCCAGCGGUUCCACGGUUGCUAGGCGACGGAACGUUCGCCGAGGGAGUUCAUGAAGGCUAGGCCUGUCCAAAUUCACAGCCGUUAACAUCCGGUCUACCCGGCCGACGGAGGACGCAGCCCACGUCGGCCGGGUGGGCUGGGUCCUUCGAAGGAUGCAGACCCUGAAUUGAGACACAGCCA
Nothobranchius furzeri (turquoise killifish) is the source of this 1275-nucleotide non-coding RNA. Lineage: Eukaryota; Metazoa; Chordata; Actinopteri; Cyprinodontiformes; Nothobranchiidae. The record is from RefSeq and is a predicted model, not a curated record.